UCUGGCUUGCUGGCCCCAUCUCUGAGUAUAUCUUUACACCUCCAAUUGUGUCACCCCCUACCCACCCACACCCUUCCCCACAACCCUCGUUUCCCCUUUUUCUUCCCUCUUUUAGAUUCCCUUUUUUGCUGCGUCUUCACUGUCACCCAAAUUUAUUUGUAUUUAAUUCGAAUAUAUAUACAUAUUUCUGUGUCAUUGGAUUAACGGUGGAUGUGAAAACAGUAAAAUUGGACAAUUGGAUCGAGAUUUUUGUUACCGGAGAUGGGCGAUUCUACGAAUUCAGGGGAGCGAGAUUUUGUGGGAGAAGCUUCUGGAAUCGUGGAACAAGCGAAGGAAUUGCAAGACGCGGCUUCUUCCUUGAUCUCCCGCACCACUCGCGAAGAGGAUUCCUUACGGCAGAAAGCCAAAUCGCUUGAUUCGAGCAUCCAUCAACUCCGUUCAUCUGUUCGGAAAAGCAAACUGGAUUCUGAUCAAGCUGAAAAAUUGGAAGAGGAGUUGUUCAAAGCUAGUUAUGUACUCAGCGAGGGAGAUGCUGCUGCUUUUCUUCCGAGCAAAUCUCAUGGAGGAUUCUUGAGGAUGUUUUUGGGACCAAUCAAUGUUCGUGCUAAUAGAAAGGAUGUGCAACUGAAAGUGAAAGAGGAAUACAAUAGUUUCAGGGACAGGACAGCAUAUCUAUUUCUUCUUUUCCCAUCUUUGCUACUAGUCUUGAGGUCUUAUAUUUGGGAUGGAUGUUUACCAGCGUUGCCAGUCCAACUUUACCAGGCGUGGUUGCUUUACCUCUACACAGGUUUGGCUCUGCGAGAGAACAUUUUGAGAGCGAAUGGAAGUGAUAUUCGUCCAUGGUGGAUUAAACAUCACUAUUGUGCUAUGGCUAUGGCACUUAUAAGUCUUACCUGGGAAAUAGAAAGAGAACCUAGCUGUGCACAGAAGCAGAAGGGUGUGCAACUGUUCCUGAAAUGGGCUAUCAUGCAAGGUGUUGCUAUGCUGCUUCAGAAUAGAUAUCAAAGGCAAAGACUGUACACUCGCAUUGCAUUGGGAAAGGCCAGGAGAAUGGAUGUUGUAUGGGGAGAGACUGCUGGAGUAGAUGGUCAAUUAUUGUUGCUCUUCCCUGUACUAUUUAUCUUACAGGGAUUUGAAGCAUAUGUUGGAGUCUUGCUGCUUAAAACAGCAUUCAUUGGUGUUGUUUCCGAGUGGCAGGUAAUAGAAACUCCCUCUGUUCCAACAUCUGUUAUCUUGUUUGCUUGGUGCGGAGGUUAAGGGACGACAGUUCAUAUAACAUAUUGCGAGUUGGUUAGGAGAUUCUCUAUUAAAAUACUUUGAGACUGUGAAAGGUUGUUACCUGUGGGAUCCUUCUGAUUAUUAUGGCAGUAGGGAAUUUUGCCAACACGGUGCAGACUCUUGUGACCAAGUCUCGGGUUAAAGCCAAAAUGAGGAGAGGUAAAAGUAAACAAGAUCUGAAAUCUGAAGGCGCCAAGAGUUUGUGAUCGGGCGGGUUGGUCCUGUCUAAUGUCCUGGCUAUGGUGGACGAAGAUGCUAAGUUAAUCUUCAUAUACUGUUUUUCUCCUUCAUCUGAGUAGAGCCCGUAAUGCAUCUCUGACACUGACUUUGGAUUUCAGAGGACAGUUGCAGGAAAUAGUCAUGCUUCCAGUCCGUUGAGGAAUUAUUUUGGUUUGAGGUUGUGGUUCUUUUUGUUUUUAAGUUUUUGCUUCGUCUCCUGUUAAAAAGUGUUAUGAUGGAAAGGGAUAUGUCCACAUUUAAAAGAACUUUGACCGUCUGUAAUUUCCAUUGUUUCUAAAUUUUGGUACUUAAGUACUAACGAUAAUUGCAAGCAGCGGAUGAGCAAAGCUUAAUAAGGAAUUUUUGCUUGAAGACUUGCUCUGA
Non-coding RNA from Nicotiana tabacum (common tobacco), 1881 nucleotides. The record is from RefSeq and is a predicted model, not a curated record. Lineage: Eukaryota; Viridiplantae; Streptophyta; Magnoliopsida; Solanales; Solanaceae.